This 791-nucleotide long non-coding RNA is filed under the name Bos taurus (domestic cattle). RNAcentral's name for it is "long non-coding RNA NONBTAT020321". The record is from RNAcentral. Lineage: Eukaryota; Metazoa; Chordata; Mammalia; Artiodactyla; Bovidae.
GAAUGGUUUAAAAUACAAACUAGGAGCGUGUUUUCAUGGAGUCUGUAGCUCUUCUAUUUAUAAAGUACCACUCAUUACUUUGGGUUAGCCCAAGAGGUAUUUAUUCAGUGCUUAAUACUGUAUGCGUAGUGUCAUAUGUGACUAGUUUAAAGGUUUUAACAUGGUUUAGCCUUGUAAGAACUUAGAACUUAGGACAGUAGGAUGUGAACUUGAACAGCACUGAUGAGGUGAGAGAGAAGGCAGAGGGCGCCGUGUGCCUGUCACGGGUGCAGCAGUGCUCAUGAGGGUUCCCAGGCCACCAUGGCCAGCGACCCCAAUGCUGGCUGUCUUGUCCUUGGCAUCACGUGGUGGCUUGACAGAGGGUCUGGGAGGUUGGGAGCCAGAUGCAGUGAGGUAUUCUGGUGAUAAUUCAGGGCAGUUAGUUCAUAUUUGAUAAUUUUAUAUGAACUUAGCAAUUCCGUUUUGAAAUGUUUGGAUUAUGUAUAAGAAGUGUCUUUUCCAAACCCUCAGAAGGACAAAAGGUUGUGUUUAACAGCAGCUGUAGUCAUAGUUUAGAAAUGUAUUAUAGAAAUAAAACAUUUCAUGAAACAUAAGUUUAGCAAUAAUUAAAAUUUCUGUUUUUUUCAAUAAUUGCAUACCUUUUCUUCAGAUGAACUUCCAUUGUCGUGUGUGUAUGGUAUGUAGAGGACGUUUCAAGGAAAAGGCAUCGAUUUCACCUGCUGGUUGGUGAAUCUGUGUGGCCGUUCCCUUUGGCACCCAGUCAUUUUACUAGUCUGCUUUCUGUAUUGUGC